Molecule: ribosomal RNA, 301 nt
Filed under: uncultured bacterium
Lineage: Bacteria
Description: partial 16S ribosomal RNA
Rfam family: Bacterial small subunit ribosomal RNA
Source: RNAcentral
CAGCAGCCGCGGUAAUACGUAGGGUGCAAGCGUUGUCCGGAAUUAUUGGGCGUAAAGAGCUCGUAGGCGGUUUGUCACGUCUGCUGUGAAAUCCCGAGGCUCAACCUCGGGCUUGCAGUGGGUACGGGCAGACUAGAGUGCGGUAGGGGAGAUUGGAAUUCCUGGUGUAGCGGUGGAAUGCGCAGAUAUUAGGAGGAACACCGAUGGCGAAGGCAGAUCUCUGGGCCGUAACUGACGCUGAGGAGCGAAAGCGUGGGGAGCGAACAGGAUUAGAUACCCGAGUAGUCCCUGUCUCUUAUAC